UUACGCUCCCUGAGUUUUCGUUCGCUGUUCUGACACAAUUCUCUCGUGGGGGCGGGGCUAGUAGCAGUGUGUUCUCAUUGGCUACUGAGUUUUUGAUUGACAGCUUCUUGACCUGGAAGUGAAGACGUCAGUGUUGUGUUUACAUGUGUGGAUGUGAGCGUCUGUAAGCGCAGCUUUCUAUUUCAUUUAGGUGAUAUUAAGUUUAUAUCUGUAUUUAUUUACUGCUACACUAUAUUGUUGAGAUGAUUUCUUAUAGAAGGAAUAGUACAGACAAAUGAUAUAAUUUGUCAUCGUCGAUAUCAGAAUACUGGAUAGCCUACUCGUGGUGGAGAGGCAUAUUAGAGCUCAGUGAGAGCCCAUAACAUUAUACAGCAGUGUCGUCUUGAUUUAAUUGGGAGUUGAGCAACUUUUCCAUAAACACAAUUCUGAUGCUGACACAGAGGAUGGAGUGAUAAUACCAGAGAUCAACUGUCUCCAUCAGACAAUAAUGUUACUUUGUUCAGACAUAUCACCUUUGAAUGACUGGGAUCCUGAUCUUCAGACACCUGAUGUAUUUUAUUUUAAUAUUAUAAAAUAGCAAAUAUUUUAAUUUCUUUGGAGCUCUAGAUUAAAACAAACACAGU
Rhinichthys klamathensis goyatoka is the source of this 623-nucleotide long non-coding RNA. RefSeq lists it as uncharacterized. Lineage: Eukaryota; Metazoa; Chordata; Actinopteri; Cypriniformes; Leuciscidae. The record is from RefSeq and is a predicted model, not a curated record. The transcript is spliced from 3 exons.